GUGCAAAUCGAUCGUCAAAUUUNGGUAUAGGGGUACGUAAUCCCUUCUUGAUNUCCUGUAAAAUGCAAUGUACUAACAAUUCUCCCAGGCGAAAGACUAAUCGAACCAUUCAAAAGAACCGAGUNUACUGGCUUUUGUUGACAGUAACUCUACUACUAGGUGGUUAGGAGGCACCUGAAAAUGUGUGCCUAGUCCCACAGUCUGGGGCAACACUGUCAAAUUGCGGGGACUUCCUGAGAGCUCUGGCUACCGCGUCCGAGACCCAAAGGUCUCAGCGACGCACCGGGUUAAUGGCCCUGGGUAUGGUAACAACGCCGGGGAUUGGAUAAUCCGCAGCGAAGCCCUAAGGGCCCCUUAGGCGCCACGCUACGGGGGCUAUGGGUAGCGUUCACAGACUAAAUGGCAGUGGGUGAGGUCCCCGUGCAGUUGCACUCUCGACGACGCGCCAGGCCCUACAGAGAGAUCUGUAGGGCCCCCUGGUCUCGCCCGAGUCCAAACACAAGCAGGGACCCCGCCUAAGAUAUAGUCGACCCCGUGUCCGAAAGGCACGUCGGUGAGCUAAAUCUGCCCGGUAUGACAUGACCGCACGUAGGGACCCACCGGGGGGCCCCUCGCGGUGCCGGCAGACCCGAACUCACCGAGUCUAAGAGCGGCACGAUC
RNAcentral lists this ribosomal RNA (660 nucleotides) under Elsinoe verbenae. RNAcentral describes it as "partial 28S ribosomal RNA". The stretch from base 125 to 551 matches the Rfam family "Group I catalytic intron". From Rfam's summary of the family: Group I catalytic introns are large self-splicing ribozymes. The record is from RNAcentral. Lineage: Eukaryota; Fungi; Ascomycota; Dothideomycetes; Myriangiales; Elsinoaceae.